ACUCACUGAAAAGUUAGAACCUAAACUUUGUCACUUUCUAACCCUAGCAGCCUGAUUUGAAACUCUGAGUUUUUUCGUUAAGAUCUGAUCUUAUGGAAGCCUCUGAAAGAAUGACUUUGAUCCGCUUCACUUCAGUCUCUACUGUGAUUUCUUUGAUUAAAAUUGACAGGAACCAUGAAGAGAAACCGUGCACUCCCAAAAUCAAUAUGCCGAAUGGGUCUAACGUUGAUACUGAAAUGCAAGUUUUGGCUGUCAUAGGUUUUCACGAGAAUAUAGGGAGAUAUUAUUCUUCGUGGAUUGAGAAUGAACAUCUCCAUAUUCAGAUGGAACUAUGUGAUCAGAUGAAAACUGUCCGAACUAUCAACAUUACUUCUGAACUAUCAGGUUCUUUCUCUUGAUGAUGAUAUGAUCGUUUGGAAAUCCAAACAGGAUGAUUUUGAUCUACACCAUAUCAAUCACCACUAUGAUUUUCUUGAUUAAAAUGAUUAAAAAAGACAGGAUCGAUCUUUGGUGAAACUAUCGAAGAUGCCAUUGCAGAUUUUGUAGUAGAUGAAGAGGUUGUCAUUUUUGAGGAAAAAGAUUUUCUUGAGUAUUUAACAAACACGAAUAAGUAAAGUUAUAUUCUGUUUUCAAUUUAAUUAUGAUUGACAUGAGUGAAAUUAGUUUUAGAACUGAUUCAUUAUAUUUGAUGAAGUCUGAUGGUUAUAAUAAAUAUUAUAGUUGCAAUGCCUAAUGUGGUAAUAGAUUAUGUUUGAAAUUAA
RNA transcript from Vigna unguiculata (cowpea), 761 nucleotides. RefSeq lists it as uncharacterized. The record is from RefSeq and is a predicted model, not a curated record. Lineage: Eukaryota; Viridiplantae; Streptophyta; Magnoliopsida; Fabales; Fabaceae.